This 446-nucleotide ribosomal RNA is filed under the name Cyclosa conica. RNAcentral describes it as "partial 16S ribosomal RNA gene". It matches the Rfam family "Bacterial large subunit ribosomal RNA", at positions 1832 to 2601 of the family's 2925-position model. The record is from RNAcentral. Lineage: Eukaryota; Metazoa; Arthropoda; Arachnida; Araneae; Araneidae. RNAcentral also lists the same sequence under 1 other name.
CUCUUACUAAAUUUUUGUAAGUACUGCCUGCUCAAUGAUUAAUUAAAUAGCCGCGGAAAUUUAACUGUGCUAAGGUAGCAUAAUCAUUAGCCCCUUAAUUAGGGGCUUGUAUGAAUGGCAAAACAUUUCAAUCUCUAUCUUUAUUAAUUUAUUUUAAUUUAAAUUAAGAAUAAAAAUGUUCUUAUUUUUUAAUUAGACGAUAAGACCCUUUUGAACUUUACUGUUGUUUGGCUGGGGCAGCCAAAAAAUAAUAAUCUUUUUACCCUUAUUUUUGUCGGUGACCCAAAAUAUUUGGUUAAACGAACAAGUUACCUAAGGGAUAACAGCGUAAUAUCUUUUUAAAGUUCUUAUUAGAAAAGAAGAUUGCGACCUCGAUGUUGAAUUAGUGUUCCUUUAACGUGCAGUAGCCUUAAAAGUGGGUCUGUUCGACCCAUAAAACAUUACAU